RNAcentral lists this ribosomal RNA (735 nucleotides) under uncultured bacterium. RNAcentral describes it as "bacterial SSU rRNA". It matches the Rfam family "Bacterial small subunit ribosomal RNA", at positions 62 to 775 of the family's 1533-position model. The record is from RNAcentral.
UCGAACGCGAAAGUUCCUUCGGGGAACAAGUAGAGUGGCGCACGGGUGAGUAACACGUAGGUAAUCUACCUUCGGAUGGGGAAUAACAAUCGGAAACGGUUGCUAAUACCGCAUAAUGCAGCGGCACCUAAUGGUGACAGUUGUUAAAGCGGGGGAUCGAAAGACCUCGCGUCUGAAGAGGAGCCUGCGGCGGAUUAGCUAGUUGGUAAGGUAAUGGCUUACCAAGGCUACGAUCCGUAACCGGCCUGAGAGGGCGGUCGGUCACACUGACACUGACAUACGGGUCAGACUCCUACGGGAGGCAGCAGUCGGGAAUUUUGGGCAAUGGGCGAAAGCCUGACCCAGCAACGCCGCGUGAAGGAUGAAAUCCCUCGGGAUGUAAACUUCGCAAGAACGGGAAGAAUAAGUAGGGGACAAUACCCCCUAUGAUGACGGUACCGUUUGUAAGCUCCGGCUAACUCCGUGCCAGCAGCCGCGGUAAUACGGGGGGAGCAAGCGUUGUCCGGAUUUACUGGGCGUAAAGGGCGCGUAGGCGGUCAGCACAAGUCAGUUGUGAAAUCUCCGAGCUUAACUCGGAAAGGUCAACUGAUACUGUGCGACUAGAGUGCAGAAGGGGCAACUGGAAUUCUUGGUGUAGCGGUGAAAUGCGUAGAUCUCAAGAGGAACACCUGCGGCGAAGGCGGGUUGGCUGGGCCGACACUGACGCUGAUGCGCGAAAGCCAGGGGAGCGAACGG